CGUCGCCGCGCUCUUGCUUGACAGCCACCACGAAGCCACCAUGCUGUCCUGGAGCCUUGCCGCUCGCCGGCCUGGAGCCACGGGAAGCCAGGGUCACUCCCACUCCCCACCCCCGACGACGGAUUUGGCAGCAAGGGGCCUGAGUCAUCAGAAGAGGGCUCUGAGAGGGGCCCCGAGUUCCGCGGCUGUUUUCACCUCCAAAGAAACUUUCCCGGACCUCUCGGCUGCUACGACGCUCCAACCAACCGCCGGGAGCCCGCCCCUGCCUCCCGCUCCGCCCUGCACCGCCCCCGACAUGCUAAUAACGACUCGGCGAGCGAUCGGAUUGGGUAUACCCUUCCCUUGGGGCGUGACCAUGCAGAUGAAGGUCGGCGCGCCCGUUGGUAAUUGGCUGCGAUAGCCACUGAGUCGCGUGGGAGGUUUCGCCGGGUGGAGCCUCUUAAAGGGCCAGCAGGAGCGGCUCAGACGACUCCUCCCCUGCUGAAGGCGAGACUCCCCGCCCCUGCAGGAUCCGGAGACCUGUGAGGCCGAGUCCGGCCCCGCCCUAGUUGUCAUGGGGACGGUAGUAGGUUGCUAAGUAAGGGGUUAAGGUCUUUUGGAGCAGUCCCUUUCUCCACUGCAAGGUGGGACCUGUUCUUAGCAGACCGGUGGCGAAGUUUCCCGUUUAUUGACUGGCUUAAAGCCCCCAACGGGGCCGUGCCCCGCCCUGCAUGCAGGGGCUACCCUCCCUCCUGUGAAAGGGCUUUCUCUCCUAUGCAAUGGAAGCUUUGCACAGGGUCCACGUCCAGAAGGUCGCAUGCGACGAGGCUGAGACCAGGAACUGGGCUGGAAGCAACUAGGAAGAAUGUGUUGGGGACAAGAAAGCUGCGAGGACCUCGUGAAGAUGGAGGGCCAGGAGACCCUGCUCUGGGAUCUUGGGGACCCCCAGGCAGCAGCCUGGUCCUCUUACAGCCUGGACUGUGUUUCCUCUGACCCCAGGAUAACUGUGGUCACUGGAUGCUCCUGAUGGCCCAUUAGACCCCAAACAAUCUACCCACAGCACUUUCCUGCUCUCGCCUCCUUGCAUUUUCCUCCUCACUUACUCCGGCGACCUCAACGUUCCUUAGAUAUGUCCAUUUCAUUCAUUCCCACCUCUGGACCCUUGCACUUGCUCUUAAUGCCCUUUCCCAGAUUAAAUGUCCCCGUUUCCAGUGAGACAUUCCCAGGCUUGUACCGUACCCCAUACACCCCAUCUUAUCUUUGCUCCAUAUGUUCAUUUCCUCCCUAUAAGCUGCCUGUUUGCUCAUUGCUAUAUUGCCAGCACCCAGAACAGUGCCCACAGGUGCUGUUAAUGCAUAUAUAUUGAAUAAACAAAUGUGUAAUGUAAAUUUCUAACAGGCCGGUGCAGCAGCUUUGGAAAACAGUCUGGCAGUUCUCCAAAAGGUUAAAAAAACAGAACACAGAGUUACCAUGCGAUGUACCCAGGAGUUAAAGAAUGGGCUUGCAAUGGGAGCCCCAGGUUCAAUCCCUGGAUCGAGAAGAUUCCCUGGAGAAGGAAAUAGCAACCCACUCCAGUAGAGAAAAGCGCCUGCCAAGCUACAGUCUAUGGGGUCACAAAGAGUCGGACAGGACUCAGAGACUAAACCACCAGCAUCCAGGAAUUACCAUGCCAUGCAUCCACUGCACUCCUAGGGACAUAUCCAAGGGAAUUAAAAACAUAUCCACACAGAAACUUGUACAUGAAUGUUCACGGCAGCAUGAUUCACAAUAGUGCAAAAGUGGAAACAAACCCAAAUGUCUAUCAGCUGAUGAAUAGGUAAAUACUGUGGGCCAGCCAUCCAAUAGAAUAUUCUUGACCAUAAAAAGGAAUAAAUUGCUAUGUCAUGCUAGGACAGGGAUAUGCCUUGAAAACAUUAGGCUCAGUGAAAGAUGCCAGUCACAAAAGGCCACACAGUGUAUGGUUCCAUUUAUAUGAAUUUUCCAGAACUGGCAGCUCCAGAGAGACAGGAAGUGGAUUAGUGGUUGCCUGGGGCUAGAACGUCAGCGGGCAGGGGCAAAGGUCACUGGGUUUCUUUUGGGGUGAUCAAAACGUUCUAAAAUUAGACUGCUUUGAUGGCUGCAUAACUCCAUAAAUGUACUAAAGCUCACACAAUUGUACACUUUACACAGGUGUGUUAUCUGGUAUGUGAAUUAAAUCCCAAUGAACCUGUUUCUCUAAGAGGCAUCCCAGAGCUGAGGAAGAUAAGCUGUGCCCUGGAAUCUUGACAGACCCAAAUUCCACACCCUGCUCUGUUGCUUCAUCAGAUGUGGGACUUCCCACACCUGCUUGCCUCUCUCUGCUGGGUUAGAAAGUAUCUAGGUGGGAAUUCCAGCUAGGAGAAUAGGAAAGACCCACCCUCCAGGCCCUGCCUCUUUGGCUUGAUUGACAAAGCUGAUGUUGCCAUAGAAACCUGUCCUUCCACUCCCAAGUUACCACACAAGGAAUUCAGGGGUCUUCCCAUGCAUGGAAAAGAAAUGAAAGGUCUUGAGGUUGAUUUUUUAAAAAUUUUUAUUGGCAUAUAGUUGAUUUACAAUGUUGUGUUAGUUUCAGGUUUACAGCAAAUUGAAUCAGUUAUACGUAUACAUAUAUCCACUCUUUUUUAUUUUUGUUUUUUUUCCACUCUUUUUUAGAUUCUUUUCCUGUACAGGCUAUUACAGAGUAUUGAGUAGAGCUUCCUGUGCUGUACAGUAGGUCCUUAAUUGUUAUCUAUUUUAUAUACACUAGUGUAUAUAUCAAUCCCAAUCUCCCAACCUAUUGAUGUCGAUUUUGAAAGCAGUUUGGAGCUCCUUGGCAUCAGGACAAAUUUCUUGCUGCGUGGGGAUUUUCUGGGAAAAACAAAAGUGUCUUGAAUCCAAAUGGCAUUGCAUCCACUCCAAUGCAUGUGAUCCAGACACACACCCGUCCCCAAGAAACAACAUGUAAGAAGCAGCAUUUCUACUGUUUGACUUUAUAUCUUUCAUUCUUUGAUCUAAAAGCAGAUCCUUUGGCCCCCAAAGUAUAAAUAGGUUUUUCCUUAGCCACAAACUUCUCCCAAGUCCUAGCUCUCAAUAAAUCCAGGUUCUCUAGCUGUCUAACCUCAUAUAAUUUCAUGUUAGUUUCUUUGCAUUCAU
Dama dama (fallow deer) is the source of this 3129-nucleotide long non-coding RNA. RefSeq lists it as uncharacterized. Lineage: Eukaryota; Metazoa; Chordata; Mammalia; Artiodactyla; Cervidae. The transcript has 3 exons. The record is from RefSeq and is a predicted model, not a curated record.